GGGCGUAUAGCUCAGUGGUUAGAGCACUCGCCUUACAAGCGAGCGGCCGUAGGUUCGAGUCCUACUACGCCCA
This 73-nucleotide transfer RNA is filed under the name Allonocardiopsis opalescens. It matches the Rfam family "tRNA". Rfam says of the family: Transfer RNA (tRNA) molecules are approximately 80 nucleotides in length. Their secondary structure includes four short double-helical elements and three loops (D, anti-codon, and T loops). The record is from Rfam by way of RNAcentral. Lineage: Bacteria; Bacillati; Actinomycetota; Actinomycetes; Streptosporangiales.